AUGACUGUUGGUAAUGGAUAUCUCAGCUCUUGCAUCAAUGAAGAACAUAACGAAAUGCGAUACUUGGUGUAAGUUGUAGAAUCUUAUGAACUAUCGAUUCUUUUUACGCAAGUUGCACCCCAAGCCAUUAGGCCUAGGGUACGCCAGCCUAGGUGUCAUACACCAUUACCACUUUCAACCCCUUGCCCAUUGGGCUCUAGGUGAAGGGCUAGAAGAUGGCCUCUCAUGAUCUUGUUGGUUGUGGUUCACCCAAAAGUGAGUCCCCGACAAUGAUAGUGUUGUGGCCUUCAGUGGCAUAGCUUCCAGCUUGCUUCGUCUCCAGUGAUGUGCUCUCAUUGUCCAUUUGAAUCCCAUCAGACCCCCCACAUCACUCAAUCAUUACUUUUAUCAUGAUGCAAGGUUAGGUGGGAUUACACACUAAGUUUAAGCAUAUCAAUAAGCGAAUAAAAAAAAACUUACCAAGAUUCCGUUAGUAAUGGCAAGUGAAUCGUGAAUAGCCUAGUAUCGGGCACCUCCAAUGUCUGAAUUAUAGUUUAAAGACGCAUUCUUGGUGGUGAACUGGACCCAAGUCCUUGGGAAUAAGGCACUAUAGAGCAUGAGAGCCCCAUUGUGCUUGGACCCUAUCACAACAAAAAAUGUUAUUUGUGAGCCAAGUUGUUUGGGAAUGCAAUCCCCAAUCAGGUGGUAAAUUCCAUCCAAAGCUGAAUACGAGGAAGAGAUCGAUAGUGAACAAGUACUAUGAGGGAAAGAUGAAAAUGACUUUGAAAAGAGAAUUAAUAAGUGUUUGAAAUUAUCAGAAAAGAAGCAGAUGGGGGCCAAUUAUGUGCUCUAGUUAGAUGUGGAACAGGGAGACCCUAUCCAUUGAUCAACUUAGGGCAUGAAUCGAAAUAGGUUAUAGUGGUGACCCAAGCUGGGCUUUUUAUUGGCCUACAGAAACAUCAUUGCUACGAUCAUAGAAUGCAGCAUUAAAUGUUGAGACAUACCUUGAUGUUGACCUACGGGCUUCCCAUUUGGUCUGUCUUGAAAUACAAUCCAAAGAGUCUAACAUGUGUAUUAGUCAAUAGGCUAGAAAACUCAUAAAGUGCAAGGAAGCUGAUUGGCAGGAUCCCUCAUGGGUGCACCACUGACUGACCUUGAUCUUUUAAGAAGGGUUUGAGUGUGAGCAUGCCUAUUAGGACCCAAAAAUGGUAAACUAUGCUUGAGCAGAGCAAAGCUAGGAAAAACUCUAAUAGAGGCCCAUAACAAUACUAACAUGCAAAUCAUUUGGGGUAAAAGACUAAUUGAAUCAUUUAGUAGCAAGUUCCCUCUGAAGUUUUCCUCAAGAUAGCUGUAGCCCUUAGUAAGUUGUAUCGAGUAAAGCCAAUGAUUAGAGGCAACAAGUGCGCAAUGCCCUUGACCUAUCCUCAAACUUUAAAUAGGUAAGAUGGCAUGGCUACUUCAUUAAGCCUCAUCAUAGAAUAGAGAGCUCUAAGAGGGCCAUUUUUGGUAACCAAAACUGGUGAUACAACAUAAAUCGGACAUCAAGUUACGGUGCCCAACUGCAUGCUAACCUAAAACCCUCAAAGGGUGUUGGUUGUUAAGAUAGUAGGAUGGUGGUCAUAGAAGUCAAAAUCUACUAAAAAAUGUGUAACAACUCACCUACCAAAUCAACUAGUCCCAAAAAUGUAUGGUGCUUAAGCGUGCUACACAUACCUAGUGUCAGGGUAAUGUCUAGGCCUCGAUGAGAAAGAGGGCAUGAUGAUUGUCAUAAAGCCCAAGGCAUGAGCUCGGGUGGAGCAACCAUUGGUAUAGAUCUUAGUGAUAGUAGUAAAUAUUCAAAUGAGAACUUUAAAGGCCAAAGGGGAAAAGUUCCAUAUGUAUGACACCUACACAUAGGUUAGUCAAUCCUAAGAGAUGGGGAAAGCCCAUCUAAUAAUGUAUCCAAUGCAUGCAUAAAAAGGGAAUCAAGUUAAAAUUUUUGAACUAGGAUGCAAUGGUUGAUGGCAACAUUAGGGAGUCCAAAGAUGUCAAUAGGGGCCUCGAAAAGAGUUAUCUUUUCUAUUUAAUGGCCCACCUACCCUGGAAAUGGCUCAACUGAAUGUAGGUUCUAGCAAUUGGAAUAGCAUCGCACAUCAUGUCGUAUCUAGUGCAACCCUGGUGGCCUUUAAAAAGUCAAAAGACUGAGUGCCAUCCAUUCCCAGUUAUAUUUAUAAUUACAUUAAGUCUCCAAGGUGAAUAGCCUCUGAUUGAUGGAAUAAUGUAAGCAAAUGAAGUUGGCAAAAUGGAUUCGUAACCUCAGGAAAAAGAUUGGCUUUGAGGGUUAAGCAUGGGGGUCCUAGUCCUAAACCCAUCAACUAUCGAUGCACUAUUCGAUCUAUUCUCACGAUGAGAGUGGGUCAUCAUGUGCUAGCUGAGGGAUGGACUCAGAACAGCUCCCUUAUGGGCCUUCCCAGACAACAAAUAAUCGACUCAAAAUUGGUACAGACAAGGGGAAUAUGACUAUUUAAUUAAAACAAAGCAUUGCAAUGGUCUCUAUGGAUGCUCAUAUAAUUUGAUUUUUGCCCAAUGCUCUGAAUGUCAAAGUGAAGAAAUUCAACCAAGUGCGGGUAAAUGGUAAGAGUAACUAUGACUUUCUUAAGGUAGCCAAAAGUUUUGUCAUAUAAUUAGUGAUGCGCAUGAAUGGAUUAAAAAGAUUCCCAUUGUCCUUGUCUACUAUCCAGACAAACCACAGCCAAAAGAAUAGGUUUCACAGAAUUAGUGAGGAAAAGACACUGUUAAGCUUGACUCUAGUGUGACUUUGUGAAAUGACUUAAGAGUUGUAUGAUAAGUGGGAGCCUUCAAGAAGAAUUGAAAUACCAUUACUUUUAACAUUAUUUUAUUUAUUCUGUGAAUUGAAGGCAGGGCAAGACCCCUUCUUUUGGACCCAAGGUUGGCCUAAGUCGAUUAAUCCAAGUGGAAGACAUUGUUAAGUAUGAAAUUUGGCUAAGGCAACAUAUUUAUUAAAAGAUAAUACAAGUGUCCAAAGAUGAGCUCAACAAAAACAGAAAUCUCGUAUGGAACAACAGGGUAAAAGCUCAUUUGAUACUAAUUUGUACAAAUAUGAACCAUAAAAGCAUGGCCUAGUAAUCAUUUAGACCUUUGAAAUUUGAAGCUAUAGGUGUCAGAAAAGUUGCCAUAAGGAUAAGUGGCUUAUGGUAACCAAGCGUUCAUAGUGAUGUUACUUUUUUAUUCUUCAAUGUUAGCCUUCUUAUGAUUGUGAAAUAGAAUUCACCAAGUGUCGGAUUGUUCACCCAGCAAUAAAGAACAUGAACUGGGAUUAGACCAUCAUGAGAUAAGUUAGUUUUACCCUAUUGAUGGUAGCAUUGCAAUAAUAAUUCAACCUAGUACGAGAGGAACAAUUGAUUCGCAUAAUUGGUCAUGUGUUUGGUUGAAAAGCUAGUGGCAUGAAGCUAUCGUGUGCUAGAUUAUGACUAAACACCUAUAAGUCAGAAUUUAGGCUAGAAGCAAUGCACACACUUGUCACUUAAUUGCCAACCUAUAGUAGAGGCCCAUAACCCUUAAGGGCACAUGUCAUAGGUGUAGUUCCCGAGGCUAACAAGCUAUGCAGGCCUCUUUG
RNAcentral lists this ribosomal RNA (3595 nucleotides) under Durio zibethinus. RNAcentral's name for it is "eukaryotic LSU rRNA". The stretch from base 391 to 3595 matches the Rfam family "Eukaryotic large subunit ribosomal RNA". The record is from RNAcentral. Lineage: Eukaryota; Viridiplantae; Streptophyta; Magnoliopsida; Malvales; Malvaceae.